Molecule: ribosomal RNA, 251 nt
Filed under: uncultured prokaryote
Description: partial 16S rRNA
Rfam family: Bacterial small subunit ribosomal RNA
Source: RNAcentral
ACGUAGGGUGCGAGCGUUAAUCGGAAUUACUGGGCGUAAAGCGUGCGCAGGCGGUUAUGUAAGACAGAUGUGAAAUCCCCGGGCUCAACUUGGGAAAUGCGUUUGAGACUGCAUAACUAGAAUACGGCAGAGGGGGGUGGAAUUCCGCGUGUAGCAGUGAAAUGCGUAGAGAUGCGGAGGAAUACCGAUGGCGAAGGCAGCCUCCUGGGCCAGUUUUGACGCUCAUGCACGAAAGCUUGUGGAGCAAACAG